UACGGAGGAUGCGAGCGUUAUCCGGAUUUAUUGGGUUUAAAGGGUGCGUAGGCGGACUGUCAAGUCAGCGGUAAAAUUGAGAGGCUCAACCUCUUCCCGCCGUUGAAACUGGUGGUUUUGAGUGGAUGAGAAGUACGCGGAAUGCGUGGUGUAGCGGUGAAAUGCAUAGAUAUCACGCAGAACUCCGAUUGCGAAGGCAGCGUACCGGCAUCCAACUGACGCUGAGGCACGAAAGCGUGGGGAUCAAACAGG
This 252-nucleotide ribosomal RNA is filed under the name uncultured bacterium. Its description in RNAcentral is "partial 16S ribosomal RNA". It matches the Rfam family "Bacterial small subunit ribosomal RNA", at positions 524 to 776 of the family's 1533-position model. The record is from RNAcentral.